Apaloderma vittatum (bar-tailed trogon) is the source of this 73-nucleotide non-coding RNA. The record is from Rfam. Lineage: Eukaryota; Metazoa; Chordata; Aves; Trogoniformes; Trogonidae.
GGCUGGCUAGCUCAGUCGGUUAGAGCAUGGUGCUUCUAACACCAAGGUCGUGGGUUCGAUUCCCGUUCGGUCC